This 630-nucleotide ribosomal RNA is filed under the name uncultured Acidobacteriota bacterium. Its description in RNAcentral is "bacterial SSU rRNA". It matches the Rfam family "Bacterial small subunit ribosomal RNA", at positions 58 to 687 of the family's 1533-position model. Lineage: Bacteria; Pseudomonadati; Acidobacteriota. The record is from RNAcentral.
CAAGUCGAGCGAGGCGGCCCGCAAGGGUCAGUCGAGCGGCGAACGGGUGAGUAACGCGUGGAUAACCUGCCCAGAGGUGGGGGAUAACCCGGGGAGACUCGGGCUAAUACCGCAUGAUACCGAAAGGUCAAAGGGGGCUCGCAAGAGCUCCUGCCAUUGGAGGGGUCCGCGUCCGAUUAGCUAGUUGGUAGGGUAACGGCCUACCAAGGCGACGAUCGGUAGCCGGCCUGAGAGGGUGAUCGGCCACACUGGAACUGAGACACGGUCCAGACUCCUACGGGAGGCAGCAGUGGGGAAUUUUGCGCAAUGGGCAAACGCCUGACGCAGCAACGCCGCGUGGAGGAUGAAGGUCUUUGGAUUGUAAACUCCUGUCAGCAGGGAAAAAGCGAAUCGGCCUAACACGCCGGUGAGUUGAUUGUACCUGCAGAGGAAGCCCCGGCUAACUCUGUGCCAGCAGCCGCGGUAAUACAGAGGGGGCAAGCGUUAUUCGGAAUUAUUGGGCGUAAAGGGCGCGUAGGCGGCUUGGCAAGUGGAUGGUGAAAUCCCUCGGCUUAACCGAGGAACUGCCAUCCAAGCUGCUUUGCUUGAGGCCGGGAGAGGCGAGUGGAAUUCCCAGUGUAGCGGUGAAAU